UACGGAGGGGGCAAGCGUUAUCCGGAAUCAUUGGGUUUAAAGGGUCCGCAGGCGGUCUUAUAAGUCAGUUGUGAAAGCCUACAGCUCAACUGUAGAACUGCCAUUGAUACUGUAAGACUUGAAUUCGGUCGAAGUGGGCGGAAUAUGACAUGUAGCGGUGAAAUGCUUAGAUAUGUCAUAGAACACCGAUAGCGAAGGCAGCUCACUAGGCCUGGAUUGACGCUCAGGGACGAAAGCGUGGGGAGCAAACAGG
RNAcentral lists this ribosomal RNA (253 nucleotides) under uncultured bacterium. RNAcentral describes it as "partial 16S ribosomal RNA". It matches the Rfam family "Bacterial small subunit ribosomal RNA", at positions 524 to 776 of the family's 1533-position model. The record is from RNAcentral.